UACGGAAGAUCCAAGCGUUAUCCGGAAUUACUGGACGUAAAGAGUUGCGUAGGUGGCAUAGUAUGUCUGUAGUGAAAGCGUGUGGCUCAACCAUAUACACAUUACAGAAACUGCUAAGCUAGAGGGCGAGAGAGGUAACUAGAAUUCCUAGUGUAGGAGUGGAAUCCGUAGAUAUUAGGAGGAAUACCGAUGGCGUAGGCAGGUUACUGGCUCGUCCCUGACACUAAGGCACGAAAGCGUGGGGAGCAAACGGG
This 254-nucleotide ribosomal RNA is filed under the name uncultured bacterium. RNAcentral's name for it is "partial 16S ribosomal RNA". It matches the Rfam family "Bacterial small subunit ribosomal RNA", at positions 524 to 776 of the family's 1533-position model. The record is from RNAcentral.